AGCGAACGUUAGCGGCGGGCUUAACACAUGCAAGUCGAGCGAGAAAGUGGCUUCGGCCAUCAGUAAAGCGGCGGACGGGUGAGUAACACGUAGGUAAUCUUCCCUUGAGCGGGGGACAACGAGCCGAAAGGCUCGCUAAUACCGCAUAAGUUCCCAGAGUCCUCGGACUUUGGGAGGAAAGCUAGGUCGCAAGAUCCGGCACUCGAGGAGGAUCCUGCGUCGCAUCAGCUAGUUGGGGGGUAAUGGCCUACCAAGGCGAAGACGCGUAGCUGGUCUGAGAGGAUGAUCAGCCACACUGGGACUGAGACACGGCCCAGACUCCUACGGGAGGCAGCAGUGGGGAAUAUUGGACAAUGGGCGCAAGCCUGAUCCAGCCACGCCGCGUGAGUGAUGAAGGCC
This 399-nucleotide ribosomal RNA is filed under the name uncultured bacterium. RNAcentral describes it as "bacterial SSU rRNA". It matches the Rfam family "Bacterial small subunit ribosomal RNA", at positions 29 to 416 of the family's 1533-position model. The record is from RNAcentral.